AUCCAAUGGAGAGUUUGAUCCUGGCUCAGGAUAAACGCUGGCGGCGUGCCUUACGCAUGCAAGUCGAACGAAGCCCCUCGCUUCGGUGAGGGAGACUGAGUGGCAAACGGCUGAGUAACGCGUAGGUGAUCUGUCCCGAGGAGGGGAACAACCCGUGGAAACGCGGGCUAAUGCCCCAUACGCCCACCGGAUCGGACCGGUGGGGAAAUGUUCCGGCGCCUUGGGAGGAGCCUGCGUCCGAUUAGCUGGUUGGUGAGGUAACGGCUCACCAAGGCAACGAUCGGUAGCUGGUCUGAGAGGAUG
Molecule: ribosomal RNA, 303 nt
Filed under: Chloroflexota bacterium
Lineage: Bacteria; Bacillati; Chloroflexota
Description: Chloroflexi bacterium partial 16S ribosomal RNA
Rfam family: Bacterial small subunit ribosomal RNA
Source: RNAcentral